CGAACGAUGAACCACUUCGGUGGGGAUUAGUGGCGAACGGGUGAGUAACACGUGGGCAAUCUGCCCUGCACUCUGGGACAAGCCCUGGAAACGGGGUCUAAUACCGGAUACUGACCCUCGCGGGCAUCUGCGAGGUUCGAAAGCUCCGGCGGUGCAGGAUGAGCCCGCGGCCUAUCAGCUUGUUGGUGAGGUAAUGGCUCACCAAGGCGACGACGGGUAGCCGGCCUGAGAGGGCGACCGGCCACACUGGGACUGAGACACGGCCCAGACUCCUACGGGAGGCAGCAGUGGGGAAUAUUGCACAAUGGGCGAAAGCCUGAUGCAGCGACGCCGCGUGAGGGAUGACGGCCUUCGGGUUGUAAACCUCUUUCAGCAGGGAAGAAGCGAAAGUGACGGUACCUGCAGAAGAAGCGCCGGCUAACUACGUGCCAGCAGCCGCGGUAAUACGUAGGGCGCAAGCGUUGUCCGGAAUUAUUGGGCGUAAAGAGCUCGUAGGCGGCUUGUCACGUCGGUUGUGAAAGCCCGGGGCUUAACCCCGGGUCUGCAGUCGAUACGGGCAGGCUAGAGUUCGGUAGGGGAGAUCGGAAUUCCUGGUGUAGCGGUGAAAUGCGCAGAUAUCAGGAGGAACAC
This 630-nucleotide ribosomal RNA is filed under the name Streptomyces sp. SCAUEA33. RNAcentral's name for it is "bacterial SSU rRNA". It matches the Rfam family "Bacterial small subunit ribosomal RNA", at positions 63 to 709 of the family's 1533-position model. Lineage: Bacteria; Bacillati; Actinomycetota; Actinomycetes; Kitasatosporales; Streptomycetaceae. The record is from RNAcentral.